Molecule: ribosomal RNA, 858 nt
Filed under: Clostridioides difficile
Lineage: Bacteria; Bacillati; Bacillota; Clostridia; Peptostreptococcales; Peptostreptococcaceae
Description: partial 23S ribosomal RNA
Rfam family: Bacterial large subunit ribosomal RNA
Source: RNAcentral
UGAUAUUCCUGUACUACCGAUAACCGUUUGAGAGAAGGGAUGACACAGUAGGAUAAGCUAAGCACACUGUUGGUUAUGUGUGCCCAAGCAUUGAGGCAGUCAAAGUAGGCAAAUCCGCUUUGAUAAUGCUGGGAUGUGAUGGGGAGCGAAAUUUAGUAGCGAAGUAGCUGAUUUCACACUGUCAAGAAAAGUCUCUAUCGAGGUUAAAGGUACCCGUACCGCAAACCGACACAGGUGGGUGAGGAGAGUAUCCUAAGGCCAGCGAGAGAACUGUUGUUAAGGAACUCGGCAAAAUGACCCCGUAACUUAGGGAUAAGGGGUGCCACCAUCAGGUGGCCGCAGAGAAUAGGCCCAAGCGACUGUUUACCAAAAACAUAGGUUUCUGCUAAGUCGCAAGACGAUGUAUAGGAGCUGACGCCUGCCCGGUGCUGGAAGGUUAAGGGGAUCUGUUAGAGCAAUCGAAGCAGUGAACUUAAGCCCCAGUAAACGGCGGCCGUAACUAUAACGGUCCUAAGGUAGCGAAAUUCCUUGUCGGGUAAGUUCCGACCCGCACGAAAGGCGUAACGAUUUGGGCACUGUCUCAACAACAGACUCGGUGAAAUUGUAAUUCCGGUGAAGAUGCCGGAUACCUGCGACAGGACGGAAAGACCCCAUGGAGCUUUACUGUAGCUUGACAUUGGGUCUUGGUACUACAUGUACAGGAUAGGUGGGAGGCUUUGAAACCAGGACGCCAGUUUUGGCGGAGCCAUCCUUGGGAUACCACCCUUGUAGUACUGGGACUCUAACCAUAGGCCAUGAAUCUGGUCUUGGGACACUGUCAGGUGGGCAGUUUGACUGGGGCGGUCGCCUCCCAAAAGG